This 2116-nucleotide unclassified non-coding RNA is filed under the name Drosophila virilis. Its description in RNAcentral is "GJ12309". The record is from RNAcentral. Lineage: Eukaryota; Metazoa; Arthropoda; Insecta; Diptera; Drosophilidae.
GCGCUUUGCUCGAAUAUCGACAAAAAAAAAACUUUAAUUAAUCAGAUUAAGUGCAUAACUAGUAUUAAAACAGUACAACUAACUUCAAAAGCUUAAUAAAUGGCCGCCGUUCGUCGCUCCACGCGUCUGAGCAGCAUUAAUAAGUCUGCAGCAGCGGCGACGGCAGCGCUGCCUCAGUCGCCGCUGCCCUCAACGCCACGACGCUCAGAAAUUUGGCGCAGGCGGCAAUCCAAGCAGAUUCUAGACAGUGAAGACGAGGAUCAGGAUGAUAUUAUUAGUGUAAUUUCAGAGAAUAACGAAAACAGCAACCUGUUGAAUCAAAUGGACAAGGCGGUCAAACGUAAAACAGCCGCUGCGCAAAAAACUCACCAAGAGCAGCUAAAGACGCCACGCAGCAGCAAGAAAACCACGACAAAAACAACCACAACUGAACCUUUGACGAACAUAGCCAAACGGAUUGAGGCCAAUAGACGUGCAGCAAAACUCAUGGAUGAUAGCAGCAGCGAGGAGGAGCUAGAUGAAGCGGCACAUGUGUCGCCACCCAAGCAGCGCAAGACACAGCCACUGCCACAGCAUUUGAUCAGCCCCUCGCGCCUGCUGGACAGACUGAGCAUAGAUGAGCGUGAGGAGCAGGUGGAAAAACCAAGCAAGACUGAAACGCAUACCAAAAAGGCGGAGCGGGCAGAAUCUCCAAAGCCAUCGCCGCCACGCAAUAAAUAUCAGAAUGCGCGUCGUGUGCUUAACAGCGCCGAGACGCUCAAUCUGCCUGGUCGUGAGCCGCAGCUGCAGGAACUGCGCGAAUUCUUUACCGAGCACUUGGAGUCUCAAACCUCCGGCAGUCUCUAUGUCUCUGGCCAGCCGGGCACAGGCAAGACCGCCUGUCUAUCACUGUUGCUGCGCGCUCCGGAAUUCGCCAAGCGACUGCAGCGCGUCUACAUCAACUGCACGAGCAUUGCCAGCGUGGGCGCCGUCUACAAGAAGCUGUGUGCGGAGCUGCAGCUGAAGCCAACGGGGCGCACCGAGCGCGAUCAUCUGGCGGCCAUACAACGCCAUUUGCGCACAGCCAAGCGCAUGUUGCUGCUGGUGCUGGAUGAGAUCGAUCAGCUGUGCACUACACGACAGGAGGUUUUGUAUACGAUCUUUGAGUGGCCUGCGCUGCCCGGUGCCCGUAUCCUGCUAGUUGGCAUUGCGAACAGCUUGGAUCUCACAGAUCGAGCACUGAUGCGCCUGAAUGCGCGCUGCGAGCUGAAACCAAGACUGAUGCACUUUCCGCCCUACACCAAGCCACAGAUCGUCGAGAUAUUUAAAUCACGUCUGGACGAAGCGCAAGUUAUGGAUGUAUUUCCGCCCGUCACGCUGCAGCUGCUCGCAGCCAAGGUGAGCGCGGUAAGCGGCGAUGUGCGACGCGCCCUGGACAUUGGGCGGCGUGUCGUGGAGAUUGCCGAGCAGCAGAAGCGUGCUGGCGACAAAGAGUUCAACAUGAAGGCACUCGAACUGGAUGGUCAGACUGCAGAGGCUAAUGACACGCUCAAGCCUGUGCAGGUCAGCCAGGUGGCGGCGGUGCUCAACAAGGUGUAUGGCGCCUCACAGAACCUGGAGGAGGACAUUGAGGCCGCCUUUCCGCUGCAGCAAAAGCUAAUGCUAUGCUCGCUGGUGCUGAUGCUGCGCAACGAGCGCAACAAGGACAUCAGCAUGGGCCGACUGCACGAGGUGUAUCGACGCGUUUGUGCCAAACGCAACAUACUCGCUCUCGAUCAGGCCGAGUUUGCGGGCACCGUCGAUUUGGUAGAGACACGGGGUAUAUUGCGCAUUAUGCGCAAGAAGGAGCCACGCCUGAACAAGGUCGUGCUGCAAUGGGACGAGGAGGAGGUGCAUGCAGCACUUAGCGACAAACAGUUAAUUGCCUCGAUCUUGAGUGACACCGCCUGUUUGGCAAAGUGACGGAUAUGAAGACAGCAACGAGUAGAAUAAUGAACAUGAUGAUUACCCUUAUAGAAAAUAAACGAAUCGAACGACGCGCGUACAAUUUUGAGAUAUACGAAAAUAAUUUGAAUACGUUCAGUUUUUUUCUUCUCUCUCUGUCUCUUAUGGUUGCUAAAUUUAAAAUUUGUGGCUG